Molecule: transfer RNA, 65 nt
Filed under: Stenopirates sp. NKU01
Lineage: Eukaryota; Metazoa; Arthropoda; Insecta; Hemiptera; Enicocephalidae
Description: tRNA-Tyr
Source: RNAcentral
AAUAAGAUGGCUGAUUUUAGGUUAUAAAUUGUAAAUUUAUAUAUGAAUUAAUAAUUCUCUUGUUA